This 73-nucleotide transfer RNA is filed under the name Camelus bactrianus (Bactrian camel). It matches the Rfam family "tRNA". Rfam says of the family: Transfer RNA (tRNA) molecules are approximately 80 nucleotides in length. Their secondary structure includes four short double-helical elements and three loops (D, anti-codon, and T loops). The record is from Rfam by way of RNAcentral. Lineage: Eukaryota; Metazoa; Chordata; Mammalia; Artiodactyla; Camelidae. RNAcentral also lists the same sequence under 1 other name.
GAGAAUAUAGCUAAAAUGGGAGAGCGCAUGCUUAGCAUGCAUGAGGUCCUGGGUUCAAUUCCCAAUGCUUCCA